RNAcentral lists this ribosomal RNA (407 nucleotides) under bacterium enrichment culture clone ALO1_GLFRUDD03GU2FL. RNAcentral describes it as "bacterial SSU rRNA". It matches the Rfam family "Bacterial small subunit ribosomal RNA", at positions 9 to 416 of the family's 1533-position model. The record is from RNAcentral.
GAGUUUGAUCUUGGCUCAGAUUGAACGCUGGCGGCAUGCCUUACACAUGCAAGUCGAACGGCAGCACGGGAGCUUGCUCCUGGUGGCGAGUGGCGAACGGGUGAGUAAUGCAUCGGAACGUAUCCUGGAGUGGGGGGAUAACGUAGCGAAAGUUACGCUAAUACCGCAUAUUCUGUGAGCAGGAAAGCGGGGGACCUUCGGGCCUCGCGCUCUUGGAGCGGCCGAUGUCGGAUUAGCUAGUUGGUGAGGUAAAGGCUCACCAAGGCGACGAUCCGUAGCAGGUCUGAGAGGAUGAUCUGCCACACUGGAACUGAGACACGGUCCAGACUCCUACGGGAGGCAGCAGUGGGAAUUUUGGACAAUGGGGGCAACCCUGAUCCAGCCAUGCCGCGUGAGUGAAGAAGGCC